UAAAGUGUUUAUAGUGCAGGUAC
Molecule: microRNA, 23 nt
Filed under: Gallus gallus (chicken)
Lineage: Eukaryota; Metazoa; Chordata; Aves; Galliformes; Phasianidae
Description: microRNA Ros-gga
Source: RNAcentral